RNAcentral lists this non-coding RNA (28 nucleotides) under Rattus norvegicus (Norway rat). Lineage: Eukaryota; Metazoa; Chordata; Mammalia; Rodentia; Muridae. The record is from RNAcentral.
UGCCAUGCUGUGUGCAGUUCUUUCUUCC